Molecule: ribosomal RNA, 1333 nt
Filed under: uncultured bacterium
Lineage: Bacteria
Description: bacterial SSU rRNA
Rfam family: Bacterial small subunit ribosomal RNA
Source: RNAcentral
GAUGAACGCUGGCGGCGUGCCUAAUACAUGCAAGUCGAGCGGUAAGGUUCUCACUCUGUACUUAAAUCAUUUGAGUAUGGUGUGAGAAUACACGAGCGGCGGACGGCAGAGUAACACGUAGGAACGUACCCCAAAGUGAGGGAUAAGCACCGGAAACGGUGUCUAAUACCGCAUAAUCUCUUCGGAGCAAAGCUUCGGCGCUAUGGGAGCGGCCUGCGUAUGAUUAGCUUGUUGGUGAGGUAAUUGCUCACCAAGGCGACGAUCAUUAGCUGGUCUGAGAGGAUGAUCAGCCUGACUGGGACUGAGACACGGCCCAGACUCCUACGGGAGGCAGCAGUAGGGAAUUUUGCGCAAUGGACGAAAGUCUGACGCAGCAACGCCGCGUGCAGGAGGAAGGCCUUCGGGUUGUAAACUGCUUUUAUCUGUGACGAUUAUGACGGUAGCAGAAGAAUAAGGAUCGGCUAACUCCGUGCCAGCAGCCGCGGUCAUACGGAGGAUCCAAGCGUUAUCCGGAAUUACUGGGCGUAAAGAGUUGCGUAGGUGUCUUGUCAGGUCUCUGUUUAAGGCCAAGGCUCAACCUUGGAAAAGAUAGAGAAACCGGCAGGAUGGAGCAUAGUAGAGGUACCUGGAAUUUCUAGUGUAGGAGUGAAAUCCGUAGAUAUUAGAAGGAACACCGAUGGCGUAGGCAGGGUACUGGGCUAUUGCUGACACUAAGGCACGAAAGCGUGGGGAGCGAACGGGAUUAGAUACCCCGGUAGUCCACGCCGUAAACGAUGGAUGCUAGCUGUUAUCAGUAUCGACCCUGGUAGUAGCGAAGCUAACGCGUUAAGCAUCCCGCCUGGGGAGUACGGUCGCAAGAUUAAAACUCAAAGGAAUUGACGGGGUCUCGCACAAGCGGUGGAGCGUGUUGUUUAAUUCGAUGGUAAGCGUAGAACCUUACCAGGGUUUGACAUCUCGGGAAUUUUUCCGAAAGGAAAAAGUGCCUUUUAGGAACCCGAUGACAGGUGAUGCAUGGCCGUCGUCAGCUCGUGUCGUGAGAUGUAUGGUUAAGUCCAUCAACGAGCGCAACCCUUAUGGUUAGUUGGAUUUUUCUAGCCAGACUGCCCCGGUAACGGGGAGGAAGGAGGGGAUGAUGUCAGGUCAGUAUUUCCCUUACACCCUGGGCGACAAACACGCUACAAUGGCCGGUACAAAGGGCAGCCAACCCGCGAGGGGGAGCAAAUCCCAUCAAAGCCGGUCUCAGUUCGGAUUGCAGGCUGAAACUCGCCUGCAUGAAGCUGGAAUCGCUAGUAACGGUAAGUCAGCACAUUACCGUGAAUACGUUCCCGAGACU